CAAUCCUUCCACUUCACAUCAAUAUUUUAUAUAUUCUUAAAAGGACACAAAAAUCACAAAUAGUGCAGAAAGAUUCUUAAACAGAUAUGUUCAACAACCCCUUCUCAAACCCCUAUGGAUGGCACUCACAUAUACAAGAGACACUUCUGCAUGGCUGAGUCAAACAGCACAGUUAUAGGAGGGGGUUACCCCCUCGGAGAAUAUUUCACAAAAACACUGGAUAUAGCAGCAAUUCACAUGAAUGAGAAAAAUGCCAAGGAGGCUCCAAUAAUGUAAAAACAUUCACAGAUUUAUUAUUGCACACUGUUUUAGGAACUCUUGAAAAAUGUGAGCUCUCAAAUAAGGAAACUCACAAAAAAUGUUUUUUUUUUACAAAAGUCCUGUUUUUCUCCCAGCCUGUUUAUCCUGUGUACUGAAGUGCUACGGUCAUGUGAAUCAUAUGGACCUGCCUCCUUUAGCUCAAAAAAUAGAGAUUAUAUAAUUUUAGGGACCAGAGCUUUGAUCGCAAUGGUGGUUCUAAGAACCACUUCUGUGGAUCAUAAAGAUAGAUCUAGGCCAGGAGAAGCCAGUGCUCAGCACUUGAUAUGUUACGGACUACGUCUUCCAAAAUGCUCUUACAGUCAUAAUGCUGGUAAAGCAUCGGGGCAUAUGUAGUUCAUAACAUCUGCAUUAACAAAAGUUCCCUAUCCCUGUUACAUAGAUGUCACUCAUGUAGGUCACAAAAAACAGACAAACUGAAAUCUCCAAUUGUACGUCUAAUGGGUAUAUGUUUGCCGCAACCUUUCAGAAACCGUCAUCAUCUUUAACUACAUGCAAUGAAUCGUCUAUUAAUUUGGUAUUAGACACUAUUGAAACACACUGACAUAUGGAUUGGCUAAAAACAAACAUCAAGCAAGCAGUUGUCUUUACCCAGUCUAAAACAACAACCAAGAUGUGUGAUUAUAGAGAUUUACCAAGACUCCUGACCUGAUGUUAAAAGAAAUGAUGCAAUCUGGGAAAUAAAAUCUCUCCAAAAAACCCACUCCCUUCCCUUGGGAGUUUAAAGAAGCAGAGCUGUAAAUAUGGUGCAGUUUAUGCAACACAAAUAGGAACCACAUUUAGUAAUGCAAAGAAACCUGGGCAGUAUCCUAAACAACCCUAAAUCACUCAAUCCGCCAACAUUCCAAAUGCCACAACUUAAUGCAGGGGCCAGCGUCCUUUAAAAGCCCUGCAGACAUACACACUGCUGUAGUUUCCUUUUAAGGACCUUGGAGAAAAAAAUGCAUGAGACAUUUAGGAAGCAAAGCAUACACUUAGAUAUUAAAUAUACCUUGGCUGGUAUGGCUGCAUUUAAAAUCCCACUUGGAAUCUACAGAAAAAGAUGCUAUAUUGUUAAGAUCUGGACAUACUCACACUAGAUAUGUUCACUCUAUUUAUUUACAAAACACAGAAUUAAAGUAAAAAUUAAAUAAAAAGAGAAUUUCUAAACUUAGAAGAAACAUCAAAGUCGCAGGAAAUCACUACCUCUUGCUUAAAUUUUAAGUCUUUUUUUUUUUAAUUCACUGCAACUGUGUUUGGACAUCAGCACAUGGCUCCAUACAUACUAACCGUUAUAAUCAUCUAAUCUGUGCCCAUUCUCUAACUUCUCCAUUAUCAGCUGCUUGGAGGGUGGGGGAUAAAAAAGUGAGUUUUCAAUGAAUUUUUGAAUGAGUGGAGACUGGGUGAAAUUCUUACGGGGAAGGGAGUUCCACAGAAGAGGUGUAGCCCAGGAAAAUCUUGGAGGCGAGCUUUAGAGGUGAGAGUACGGAGAGAAGAUAUACGUAGGUCUUUGGCAGAGCAUAGGGGCCUUGACGGGACAUACUUGUGUAUUAGGGAGGAAAGGUAGGUUGGAGCAGCAUUAUGUAGGGACUUGUAAGCAAGCACCAGAAUUUUAAAUUGAGCCCUAUAUCUAACUGGAAGCCAAUGCAGGGACUGACAGAGCGGGGAAGCGUGGGAGGUGCGAGCGGACAGGAAAAUGAGCCUCGCCGCCGCAUUCAUUAUAGAUUGCAAUGGUGCAAUCUGAGAACACGUAAGACCACUGAGAAGAGUAUUGCAGUAGUCCAGGCGAGAGAGAACAAGAGCAUGGACAAGCACCUUAGCCGCAUCCGGGGUUAAAUAGGGGUGGGUGCGCGCUAUGUUUUUGAGAUGGAAGCGACAGGAUUUGGCGAUUGAUUGGACAUGAGGGAUGAAGGAGAGGUUGGAGUCAAAAAGAAAACACAGGCAGCGAGCCUGCAAGGUAGAGGUGAUGGUAGCGCCGUUGACUUGGAGGGAGACAGAAACAGGAGUAGUAACACUUGAGGGAGGAAAGACCAGAAGUUCUGUUUUGGACAGGUUGAG
RNAcentral lists this long non-coding RNA (2355 nucleotides) under Pelobates cultripes (western spadefoot toad). Lineage: Eukaryota; Metazoa; Chordata; Amphibia; Anura; Pelobatidae. The record is from RNAcentral.